UGGUGGGGUAAUGGCUUACCAAGACUAUGACACAUAACUGGUUUGAGAGGAUGAUCAGUCACACUGGAACUGAGACACGGUCCAGACUCCUACGGGAGGCAGCAGUGGGGAAUAUUGCACAAUGGACGGAAGUCUGAUGCAGCAACGCCGCGUGGAGGAUGACACAUUUCGGUGCGUAAACUCCUUUUAUAUAAGAAGAUAAUGACGGUAUUAUAUGAAUAAGCACCGGCUAACUCCGUGCCAGCAGCCGCGGUAAUACGGGGGGUGCAAGCGUUACUCGGAAUCACUGGGCGUAAAGAGCAUGUAGGCGGAUUAAUAAGUUUGAAGUGAAAUCCUAUAGCUUAACUAUAGAACUGCUUUGAAAACUGUUGAUCUAAAAUGUGGGAGAGGUAGAUGGAAUU
This 401-nucleotide ribosomal RNA is filed under the name uncultured bacterium. RNAcentral describes it as "bacterial SSU rRNA". It matches the Rfam family "Bacterial small subunit ribosomal RNA", at positions 250 to 668 of the family's 1533-position model. The record is from RNAcentral.